Molecule: long non-coding RNA, 3534 nt
Filed under: Ananas comosus (pineapple)
Lineage: Eukaryota; Viridiplantae; Streptophyta; Magnoliopsida; Poales; Bromeliaceae
Description: long non-coding RNA (ACOM_LNC029087)
Source: RNAcentral
AGGUACCGUUUGGUUCGGGUAUAAGAUAGAACUGCUAGUUCCAGGGAUAGGUAUAAAUAUUGGAACUAGCUAGAACUAGUGUAUUUUUGUGUUUGGUUGAGUAUUAGAUUUGUACCAGGUAUAAGAAAAAUAGUGUUUGGAUGUAUAAGAUAGAAUAAGAGGAAUAAAGUAUGAAAGGGAUUAAAAAUAGGUAACAAAAAUUAAUUAAAUAAAUAAUGAAUUACAAUAUUGUUAAAAAACAUUACUAAUUAUUUAAUGAAUAUUUUUUUGUCAACUUGCGCUCGUUAGAAUUAAAUUAUACUUCUCGAAAAAAUAAUUUUAAACUUUCAUACUGCAAUAAGAUUUAUAACAAACUAACCAAAUUAAUAACUAUAGUAAAAUAAAGAAACAUUCAAACCUUUUCAUACACAUGUUAUAUACAAUUUGUUACAAACACUGUCUUUCCACCUUUUACAUACAUUUCAAUCCAUAUUGCAAACAACAUAUUAAUAAUUUAUCCAGAAAAUACCAAGUAAUAUUUGCCUGCGAAUAUAGUCGAGAAAUACAAGUUCGCAAAUUUAAAUAUAAGAUCAUUCAAAAGUAACAUGUAUUAUAAUAUUUNUGAUAAAACUUUGAGAGCCAAAUUAUUAAGAUUAAAAGUUCAUAUUGUGGAAAUAUUAAAUUGUUAAAAAAAUACUAUUUAUAUAUUCUAAAAAUAAUGUGUAUUAUAGAGUCGGAUUAUAAUAUUUUUAAUAGUACCAAGUACUUUGGUGUUAUCAAAUUUUUUAUUGACUUUAAUUUUUUAAUUAUUUUUAUCUGUUAGAUCAUAGUCAUAAAAAAUUACUAUUAUCCUAACCGCACGUUUCUUUAUCGAAGGGCCAAAAAUCUAAUAGCACCAACUGUUUGGUGCUAUUAGAAGCAUUUCAAUCUAAUUCAUAUAUAACGCUUUCAUUCUAAGAUUUAAAAAUCUUUUGAGUUUUUAGGUUUUUUAAACAAAGUUGAUAAAAUAACGGCAAAUAAUGAGAGCCCUGAAUUACCGCUCAAAGUAACCAAUGAUUGAUUGGGUACCUUCUGGGGUACCCGUAGUAUCGCCCAAAGAAGGGCCAAUCCAACUUAAAAAAAAAAAAGAAUUUGAAACAGAGAUAACAAUAUAUCGCGCACCCAUGUGAGUGAGUAAGAUUGCGGCAUAGGAGGAGACGCACUUUCUUUUACCGCCCCAUCGGAUAUUUCAGAGCACACAUACAUCACUUUUAAAAAAACCCUUUAUUCACUAUUCAGUAUUCACCUUUCCCCUUCGCCAUGGCUCCCUCUCUCCCCUCCUUCUUCUUCAUCCUCCUCCUACGAACCCUAACAAUGGCGUACGCCGCCACCUCCCCCGACGACAUCGAAGCCCUAAGAUCCUUCGUGGCCGCGGUGGAGCCCGCCUCCGUCCCCGCGGGGUCGUGCCUCAGCACCUGGGACUUGGCCCGCGACCCCUGCGACUCCGCGUUCGGCCCCUUCUUCACCUGCGGCCUCCUCUGCUCCGACCCCUCCCCCGCAGCCCCCCUCCGCCGCGUCACCGCCGUCGCCCUCGCCGGCUCCGCCUACUCCGGCGACGCCGCCGCGGCGGUCGCGGCCCUCCUCUCCCUCCCCUUCCUCUCCUCCCUCGACCUCUCCGACAAGCCGCUUCUCCGGGCCCCUCCCCGCCUCCCCCGACCGCUCUACCGCUACCCCCUCGCCUCCUCCGCCUCUCACCUCAUCGCAACCCUCUCCGGCCCAUCCCCUCCUCCUCUUCCCCCUUGUCGCCUGCCUCGCCGCUUGCGGGAGCUCUACCUCCGACGGGAACCCUCCUUCGCGCCCGAUCCCCGCGAGCUCCAUCGCUCCCUCCGCGCCCUCGCUACCGACCUCGAUCUCCGAUCCAACAACCUCUCGGGCCGUCUAUCUCUCUCUCUGCCCCGUCCGGGGCUCCUCACUUGUCAGGCGAGCGACACUUCGAACGCGCUCUGGGCCCUUUCCGGCCCGGUGCGGCUCUCCCCGCGUCCGCUCCUCCCGCUCGCUCCGCGGCAACACGCCUCCGCGGCGGCUGACGGGCGCGUCCCUAGGGCGCUGCCCGCGUCAGUAUCGCGUGCUGGCCUGGCCGGGAAGCGCUGGAGGCGGCGCCCCGGCGCGGCGUUCGCGCCGACACCGCCUGGAGCAAGCUUGAACGCUGGCGUCCGAAACCGGGCUGGGGGGGUCGAGGUGAGGAGCCCGACGGGCGUGGUCGACGAGCCGGCUGUGGCGGUGGAGCUGGGCGGAAUACCGAACGGGGCGCGCUGCGGGCUUCUUUGGGAUGAUGCCGCGGCUGGCGGGCGGUGGUGCUGGAGGGGAACCGUUCGCGGGUCAUCCCGCCGGCAGUACGCGCUGCGGUGCGGGCCUCUGGUCUGCGGGACAUGGGCCCGUUCGGCAGCGGCGAUGCUGGCGGGAAAUACGCUGAUUGGGACCGAUACCGAGCCCGAAUGGAGGGGUGAAGGAUGGGAUGCCGAUGGGACGCUGGCGACAACUGGCAUCCUCCGCUGCCGCCCCGCAGUGUACUUCUUCUCUCCAGGGCCUGCCCUCAGAAGCCGCGCCGCCACGUGUUCAGCGCCUUCAACCCCGCCAACCCCCUCACUUAAACUAAACUUCACUUUAAUUUUUUGAUUUAUCGAUGAUGAUGAUGUGAUUAGAGUGUGCUGUAAAAGACAUAUCAUAAAUAUAUAUUAGAUAAUAUAGGGAAAAAGAAAAUGUAGGAAAAGAAAGGACUUGCAGGGCACGGUGUGUAAAACAAAAAAAAUAACGAUCCGCUGAAUGUUGCGAAGAAUGGUACGGACUGUAAAGAGUUUUUUUUUUAAAAAAAUUAAUGUAAUAAAUUAAUUGUGUUUUUAAGGAUAUCGGAGCUUGAACUUGGGAAAGAAGAAGAGCUCAGUGGAAGGAAAGUACUUAAUUAGGCGAUAUCAGCAUUCCCUAGGUACCGUUUGGUUCGGGUAUAAGAUAGAACUGCUAGUUCCAGGGAUAGGUAUAAAUGUUGGAACUAGCUAGAACUAGUGUAUUUUUGUGUUUGGUUGAGUAUUAGAUUUGUACCAGGUAUAAGAAAAAUAGUGUUUGGAUGUAUAAGAUAGAAUAAGAGGAAUAAAGUAUGAAAGGAAUUAAAAAUAGGUAACAAAAAUUAAUUAAAUAAAUAAUGAAUUACAAUAUUGUUAAAAAACAUUACUAAUUAUUUAAUGAAUAUUUUUUUGUCAACUUGCGCUCGUUAGAAUUAAAUUAUACUUCUCGAAAAAAUAAAUUUAAACUUUUAUACUGCAAUAAGAUUUAUAACAAACUUACCAAAUUAAUAACUAUAGUAAAAUAAAGAAACAUUCAAACCUUUUCAUACACAUGUUAUAUACCAUUUGUUACAAACACUGUCUUUCCACCUUUUACAUACAUUUCAAUCCAUAUUGCAUACAACAUAUUAAUAAUCAUAUAAGAAUAUUUCUAACCAUCUUAUUAAAUAUUUAACACAAUAUAGACUAUGCUACAAACUUUACGAAACAUUGACGAUAAAACAAUACAAAAGACAAA